This 68-nucleotide non-coding RNA is filed under the name Candidatus Mailhella merdavium. The record is from RNAcentral. Lineage: Bacteria; Pseudomonadati; Thermodesulfobacteriota; Desulfovibrionia; Desulfovibrionales; Desulfovibrionaceae.
AAGCGAAACGGUCCCCACGCGGGGCCGUCGUCGGAAUGUGGCGGUUCCGGCCUGAUGAGCAGCCGACA